This 463-nucleotide ribosomal RNA is filed under the name uncultured bacterium. RNAcentral's name for it is "partial 16S ribosomal RNA". It matches the Rfam family "Bacterial small subunit ribosomal RNA", at positions 28 to 507 of the family's 1533-position model. The record is from RNAcentral.
GAUGAACGCUGACAGAAUGCUUAACACAUGCAAGUCGAUGGGGAAGUGGUGCUUGCACCAUGGCAACCAUGGCGGACGGGUGAGUAACGCGUAAGGGACUUACCUGCAGGACUGGGAUAACAGGGGGAAACUCCUGACAAGACCGGAUAAUGUCAUGGAGCUGCAUGGCUUUAUGAUGAAAGGAGACGCCUGCGGAGAGCCUUGCGUCCUAUUAGCUAGUUGGUGAGGUAAUGGCUCACCAAGGCGAAGAUAGGUAGCCGGCCUGAGAGGGUGGACGGCCACAAGGGGACUGAGAUACGGCCCUUACUCCUACGGGAGGCAGCAGUGGGGAAUAUUGGACAUUGGGGGCAACCCUGAUCCAGCAAUUCUGUGUGCACGAAGAAGGUUUUCGGAUUGUAAAGUGCUUUCAGCAGGGAAGAAGUAAGUGACGGUACCUGCAGAAGAAGCGACGGCUAAAUACGUG